Molecule: ribosomal RNA, 395 nt
Filed under: uncultured bacterium
Lineage: Bacteria
Description: partial 16S ribosomal RNA
Rfam family: Bacterial small subunit ribosomal RNA
Source: RNAcentral
AUACGUAGGGUGCAAGCGUUAAUCGGAAUUACUGGGCGUAAAGCGUGCGCAGGCGGUUCGGAAAGAAGGAUGUGAAAUCCCAGGGCUCAACCUUGGAACUGCAUUCUUAACUACCGAACUAGAGUAUGUCAGAGGGGGGUAGAAUUCCGCGUGUAGCAGUGAAAUGCGUAGAUAUGCGGAGGAAUACCGAUGGCGAAGGCAGCCCCCUGGGAUAAUACUGACGCUCAUGCACGAAAGCGUGGGUAGCAAACAGGAUUAGAUACCCUGGUAGUCCACGCCCUAAACGAUGUCAACUAGCUGUUGGGCCCUUCGGGGCUUAGUAGCGUAGCUAACGCGUGAAGUUGACCGCCUGGGGAGUACGGUCGCAAGAUUAAAACUCAAAGGAAUUGGCGGGG